GACCCGCUAGCUCAGCCGGUAGAGCAGCGCCCUUUUAAGGCGAUGGUCCCGCGUUCGAAUCGCGGGCGGGUCACCA
This 76-nucleotide transfer RNA is filed under the name Oscillospiraceae bacterium. RNAcentral describes it as "tRNA-Lys". It matches the Rfam family "tRNA". From Rfam's summary of the family: Transfer RNA (tRNA) molecules are approximately 80 nucleotides in length. Their secondary structure includes four short double-helical elements and three loops (D, anti-codon, and T loops). Lineage: Bacteria; Bacillati; Bacillota; Clostridia; Eubacteriales; Oscillospiraceae. The record is from RNAcentral.